GGAGGUGUAGCAUAAAUGGUAAAGCACCUGCUUAGCAAGCACAAAGCCUGAAUUCAAACUCCAACACCACCU
Molecule: transfer RNA, 72 nt
Filed under: Dipodomys ordii (Ord's kangaroo rat)
Lineage: Eukaryota; Metazoa; Chordata; Mammalia; Rodentia; Heteromyidae
Rfam family: tRNA
About the family: Transfer RNA (tRNA) molecules are approximately 80 nucleotides in length. Their secondary structure includes four short double-helical elements and three loops (D, anti-codon, and T loops).
Source: Rfam by way of RNAcentral